RNAcentral lists this long non-coding RNA (2420 nucleotides) under Capsicum annuum. RNAcentral's name for it is "long non-coding RNA (CANN_LNC011626)". Lineage: Eukaryota; Viridiplantae; Streptophyta; Magnoliopsida; Solanales; Solanaceae. The record is from RNAcentral.
CGACAUUACCCCAAUUUCAACAUCAACAACAGAACAACGACGCAACAACUUCAACCAAAAACCCGCGACAAUAACGUCAACUCCAAAACACCAACGACAACAACGGCAGAAACAGCUCGGCAACCUCAUCUCAAUUUUUAAAAUUCAAAUCUCAAUUCUUUUUUCCUUUUUUACCCCUCUGUUUCCCCUAAAACAACCACAAAUUCUUCAAUAAAUUAGGAGUUCUGGAGACGCGUGUCUCUAACCUCACGUAAUCAAAAAUUCGUUGGAGUCAUUCGAAACUCCGGCAAAAAAAAUAAUUUGAAUUCUGAAUUGGAAGUCGUCUUUAUCGUCUCGUCGUUCUGUUCUCUGCCCGGAAAAAGGUAAACAUAUUUUUCACUUUUAAAUUUCCUCGUUGUUUCUUCUUCGUCUUUGCGCAAAUAGCGUAGUAAUGUGGGAUUGUCUGCUGUACAAGGCUUGGAAAGCCAUAGGAUUAUUGUGAUUGUUAUAUGAUGAAUCAAUGUCCACGCCGUAGUGACUGGCUUACUAGCUUCUUGUUCCUCGCUUUAGUUCUCUGCUUAUCCAUGAUACCACUAUGAUGAUUGCUUGUCAAUUCUUAGCUCGUUGUUUUCUUUUAACUCGAACUGUUGUUUGUUGUGGUUGAAUCCAUUGUUUUUUUUUCUUUGGGGUUUCGACAGUUUCUUUUGUUUUCUUAGGAUAGUUCAUUAUUUUUAGCAUAAUGUCGUCUUGUUCAACUUCUAGGUUACAGUUUUGUGAUAAUGGUAAUAUUGCUUUGUGAUUUUCUUUAGUUUGAACAUGGCUUAUUAUGAUUUUAAUCCAUCGUUCCACGUUGAUGUUUUUUGUCAAUCCAUUCUAUUCACUGUUGUUGCUCAAAUAUCAUUCGUUUCAGAUUAUCGUCCACUUUUUUGUGUCUCUCUCGAUGCGUUUGCUCCUGUUGAAUGUAUUUUUGUUGUAUUUCAAACUCUAAAUAAUGUGUUUUCCCAUAUUAUUAAGUGAAACUGUUAGAACAAGCUUACACUUAUGUUUUUGCCCUUAAAAUGCCAUUCAUUUCUUUCCAUUGCUUACCUGUUUCAGUUUUUCUUUUUUUUUUUUGGUUUCAUAUGUGCUUUAAAGGCUUAACCUGCAAUCUCUUGGCUUUCUUUCCUCCUGCUAAAAACCAUUUUAGUUUGCUAUGAGUCGAUUUCGAUUUAUUAUGUCAUUGACAAGUCUUUACCUUGUAGUACCAUGUUGAGCUUUUGCCCAUUUUCGUCUUCAUUUGUAUGUGCUUUAUUAAGAGAGGUAAUAAUAGCUUUAGCAAUCGCAUUCCCAUCUCUGUCUUGGAAUUGCUUUCGUGUUUUCAAAAGGUUCAAAGACGUUUGUUAACUUAGAGCAUGCGUUUUACUGGAAAUACCCUACGAUUACUCUUCAAAUAAUGACGUUUUCUAUCUAGAAUAUGGUAUAUUUAUUAUUCAAUAGUUAAAUAUGUUCUAUCAUUUUCCCUGAAUUUUCUCCAAAUGUGAGGCCAGUUAUCUUAUUUGAUGUCAAUUACUAAUCUUUUAGGACAAGUACUAAUUUAUUUAUCCCUUUUUGUGUGUCAUGUGAAUUCAUCCUUUGUUAUCUUCUUAAUGUUCAAGUAUAUUCGAUAAUGCCUAUAUUAUACACUAAAAAAGAAUGUGCCUUGCCAUGUCUAUACUAAGGCUCCUAUCUUGUUAAAAUUGGGCCAUGUGAUGAAAUAUUUGGUAGUUGGGUGUAGAACAAGAAGGCUUAAAUUCUCCAUGUUGGUUUGUUUUGCGCCACUUUGAAUAUUCUAUAUUUUUAAAACGUACGACCUACCUUAAGUGUGUGAUUAUUAUCGAUUGUUUAAGUUGACAUUUGUUUGUUUAAGUUGAAAUUUGGUAUACUAUUUUGCCCGUUUUAUUAUUUGUAGACACUUGUUAAUCCUUAUCUUUUCUUUAUUUUGCAUGAACCCAUCUUGAACGAAUCCGAUCGUACUCCCCAUUCCUUCGCAUUCAAUGUCCAUCGAGUUGAGCCUCAUUGAAGUCCAAAUUUGGACUGAUAUACACAAGAUAGCACCAGUAUACAAGAUGGUAUUCGCUGAUAUACAACGUGUAUACACUGAAAGUCGUAGCUGCAUACCAUCAUUCAGUGUACAAUGAAACAUGGGGAGUUAAUAUGCUGAUUUCUACGUUGAUAUACAGUAUAUACGUGGAAAUAUACACAAAAAACGCAAGGGUGAAAGGCUAUGAUAUACAGCUGGUAUACACUUCAGAAAAAAUGGACUGAAGUCCAUAAUUCCAAGCCUUUCUGGGCAGCUAUAUUAUGGGCCAAUUAAGGGCCCAAUUUCAUUUUUUGUAUUAUUUUGUAAUUUUUUUUGUAGCUUAUAAUUCAUCUUUGUUUAUGUGCGCUAACUUUAAAUUAAUUAAUCUACACAAAUUUCCUAA